Thalassophryne amazonica is the source of this 197-nucleotide long non-coding RNA. RefSeq lists it as uncharacterized. The transcript has 3 exons. The record is from RefSeq and is a predicted model, not a curated record. Lineage: Eukaryota; Metazoa; Chordata; Actinopteri; Batrachoidiformes; Batrachoididae.
AAAAACAAAUACUAGUCAGUAAUAUAACGCAGUGAAACAAACAAAGUAAUACAACAGACAAACAAACAAAAAAUAGCCACACAGGCAAUUUACUUAAUUACUCAAACUAUAACACGUUAAUAUAUUAUUUUUAUACAGUCUUUUAAAACAAGCCAAUGUAGUAGAUAUUUUAAUACAAUCUAAACAAUCAUUCCACA